This 1320-nucleotide ribosomal RNA is filed under the name Pediococcus pentosaceus. RNAcentral's name for it is "bacterial SSU rRNA". It matches the Rfam family "Bacterial small subunit ribosomal RNA", at positions 125 to 1434 of the family's 1533-position model. Lineage: Bacteria; Bacillati; Bacillota; Bacilli; Lactobacillales; Lactobacillaceae. The record is from RNAcentral.
CUUGCCCAGAAGUAGGGGAUAACACCUGGAAACAGAUGCUAAUACCGUAUAACAGAGAAAACCGCAUGUUUUCUUUUAAAAGAUGGCUCUGCUAUCACUUCUGGAUGGACCCGCGGCGUAUUAGCUAGUUGGUGAGGUAAAGGCUCACCAAGGCAGUGAUACGUAGCCGACCUGAGAGGGUAAUCGGCCACAUUGGGACUGAGACACGGCCCAGACUCCUACGGGAGGCAGCAGUAGGGAAUCUUCCACAAUGGACGCAAGUCUGAUGGAGCAACGCCGCGUGAGUGAAGAAGGGUUUCGGCUCGUAAAGCUCUGUUGUUAAAGAAGAACGUGGGUAAGAGUAACUGUUUACCCAGUGACGGUAUUUAACCAGAAAGCCACGGCUAACUACGUGCCAGCAGCCGCGGUAAUACGUAGGUGGCAAGCGUUAUCCGGAUUUAUUGGGCGUAAAGCGAGCGCAGGCGGUCUUUUAAGUCUAAUGUGAAAGCCUUCGGCUCAACCGAAGAAGUGCAUUGGAAACUGGGAGACUUGAGUGCAGAAGAGGACAGUGGAACUCCAUGUGUAGCGGUGAAAUGCGUAGAUAUAUGGAAGAACACCAGUGGCGAAGGCGGCUGUCUGGUCUGCAACUGACGCUGAGGCUCGAAAGCAUGGGUAGCGAACAGGAUUAGAUACCCUGGUAGUCCAUGCCGUAAACGAUGAUUACUAAGUGUUGGAGGGUUUCCGCCCUUCAGUGCUGCAGCUAACGCAUUAAGUAAUCCGCCUGGGGAGUACGACCGCAAGGUUGAAACUCAAAAGAAUUGACGGGGGCCCGCACAAGCGGUGGAGCAUGUGGUUUAAUUCGAAGCUACGCGAAGAACCUUACCAGGUCUUGACAUCUUCUGACAGUCUAAGAGAUUAGAGGUUCCCUUCGGGGACAGAAUGACAGGUGGUGCAUGGUUGUCGUCAGCUCGUGUCGUGAGAUGUUGGGUUAAGUCCCGCAACGAGCGCAACCCUUAUUACUAGUUGCCAGCAUUAAGUUGGGCACUCUAGUGAGACUGCCGGUGACAAACCGGAGGAAGGUGGGGACGACGUCAAAUCAUCAUGCCCCUUAUGACCUGGGCUACACACGUGCUACAAUGGAUGGUACAACGAGUCGCGAGACCGCGAGGUUAAGCUAAUCUCUUAAAACCAUUCUCAGUUCGGACUGUAGGCUGCAACUCGCCUACACGAAGUCGGAAUCGCUAGUAAUCGCGGAUCAGCAUGCUGCGGUGAAUACGUUCCCGGGCCUUGUACACACCGCCCGUCACACCAUGAGAGUUUGUAACACCCAAAGCCGGUGGG